RNAcentral lists this unclassified non-coding RNA (256 nucleotides) under Hevea brasiliensis (rubber tree). Lineage: Eukaryota; Viridiplantae; Streptophyta; Magnoliopsida; Malpighiales; Euphorbiaceae. The record is from RNAcentral.
GAAAGAUAUAGUGGUGAAGAACUGCUGUAAGAAUCUUCUAGGGUUGUAAGGGAAUCUAAUUUAUGCCCAUAAAACUUCUGAACCAACUGUUCUUCAUGGAUGAGUUAAUCUCCAGCAGCCAGCGGAGAAAAGCUUGCACGGGUAUGCAAGGAUUCAGUCACCUGCAGUAAGUUGAUAAAUGGCAAGAUCUUGGAUACCCUUAACUACUUAAUUAAUAUCAGAUGUACUAACCAAGUCAACCCUGGUUAGUCAUAAA